Molecule: ribosomal RNA, 459 nt
Filed under: uncultured bacterium
Lineage: Bacteria
Description: partial 16S ribosomal RNA
Rfam family: Bacterial small subunit ribosomal RNA
Source: RNAcentral
CCUACGGGGGGCAGCAGUGAGGAAUAUUGGUCAAUGGGCGCGAGCCUGAACCAGCCAAGUCGCGUGAGGGAAGACGGUCCUAUGGAUUGUAAACCUCUUUUGUCGGGGAGCAAAAGACGCCACGCGUGGCGUUCCGAGAGUACCCGAAGAAAAAGCAUCGGCUAACUCCGUGCCAGCAGCCGCGGUAAUACGGAGGAUGCGAGCGUUAUCCGGAUUUAUUGGGUUUAAAGGGUGCACAGGCGGAAGAUCAAGUCAGCGGUAAAAUUGAGAGGCUCAACCUCUUCGAGCCGUUGAAACUGGUUUUCUUGAGUGAGUGAGAAGUAUGCGGAAUGCGUGGUGUAGCGGUGAAAUGCAUAGAUAUCACGCAGAACUCCGAUUGCGAAGGCAGCAUACCGGCGCUCAACUGACGCUCAUGCACGAAAGUGUGGGUAGCGAACAGGAUUAGAUACCCGGGUAGUC